UGCCAGCCGCCGCGGUAAUACAGAGGGUGCAAACGUUGUUCGGAAUCACUGGGCAUAAAGCGCACGUAGGCGGUCAUGUAAGUGUGGAGUGAAAGCCCACGGCUCACCCGUGGAACUGCUUCGCAUACUGCAUGACUCGAGGACGGUAGGGGAGAGCGGAACUCUUGGAGGAGCGGUGAAAUGCGUAGAUAUCAAGAGGAACACCAAUGGCGAAGGCAGCUCUCUGGUCCGUUUCUGACGCUGAGGUGCGAAAGCUAGGGUAGCGAACGGGAUUAGAUA
RNAcentral lists this ribosomal RNA (279 nucleotides) under uncultured bacterium. Its description in RNAcentral is "partial 16S ribosomal RNA". It matches the Rfam family "Bacterial small subunit ribosomal RNA", at positions 506 to 784 of the family's 1533-position model. The record is from RNAcentral.